Molecule: ribosomal RNA, 636 nt
Filed under: Starmerella bacillaris
Lineage: Eukaryota; Fungi; Ascomycota; Dipodascomycetes; Dipodascales; Trichomonascaceae
Description: eukaryotic LSU rRNA
Rfam family: Eukaryotic large subunit ribosomal RNA (bases 1-492)
Source: RNAcentral
GGGACCAAGCAGCUCCUGCAUGCAUAGUGCAAGGCGAGCGCUCAGAUUUGAAGGCACUUUUGUGCCGUUGUAUUCUGAAGUUAGGGUCCUGAGAAACGAUGCUUAAGUCUUCUGGAAAGGAGCGCCAUGGAGGGUGAUAGCCCCGUCUAGCAUUGACCUCAUAUAGGAUCUUAACAUGGAGUCGAGUUGUUUGGGAAUGCAGCUCAAAUGGGUGGUAUGCUCCAUCUAAAGCUAAAUAUCUGCGAGAGACCGAUAGUAAACAAGUACUGUGAGGGAAAGAUGAAAAGAACUUUGAAAAGAGAGUGAAAAAGUACGUGAAAUUGUUGAAAUGGAAGGGUAGGCCGCUAACCAUGUAGAGCCGUGUUUGGGGGGAAGAUAAAUGCUGUAGAAUGUAGCUCCUCGGAGUAUUAUAGAUGCAGUUCAUAUUCCCACCCGAGCGCGAGGAUCUCAGGUUCUACUAAAUGGUGGUCUACCACCCGUCUUGAAACACGGACCCAUGAUAUGCACAUUAACAGAACCUGAGAUCCUCCGCUCGGGUGGGAAUAUGAACUGCUCUAUAUACUCCGAGGAGCUACUUCUACAGCAUUAUCUUCCCCAGCCCUCCUGGGUUAGGGGCCACCCUCCUUUUCAACAAUU